CGCCACUGUGACUUGCAAGCAACUCACUGCACUUAGGCACUGGACUACCUGAAUUUCUAAUUCAGUGACGGAAGGCUGCUGGGUGUAGUCAAGUACUUGACUUGUCGGUGCGUGUGUCAAGAUGGGAUUGACCACUCCAGUUUAGGAGCUGUGUACAGUCGUGUUUCAAUUUAGGAAAAUCUUGGCCAGGGUAGUCUUUGUGAGGAGUCACAGGACUGUUUGAGUUG
This 227-nucleotide long non-coding RNA is filed under the name Elaeis guineensis (African oil palm). Its description in RNAcentral is "long non-coding RNA (EGUI_LNC059742)". The record is from RNAcentral. Lineage: Eukaryota; Viridiplantae; Streptophyta; Magnoliopsida; Arecales; Arecaceae.